AGGGCAAGUCUGGUGCCAGCAGCCGCGGUAAUUCCAGCUCCAAUAGCGUAUAUUAAAGUUGUUGUGGUUAAAAAGCUCGUAGUUGAACCUUGGGCCUGGCUGGCCGGUCCGCCUCACCGCGUGUACUGGUCCGGCCGGGCCUUUCCCUCUGUGGAACCCCAUGCCCUUCACUGGGUGUGGCGGGGAAACAGGACUUUUACUUUGAAAAAAUUAGAGUGCUCCAGACAGGCCUAUGCUCGAAUACAUUAGCAUGGAAUAAUAGAAUAGGACGUGUGGUUCUAUUUUGUUGGUUUCUAGGACCGCCGUAAUGAUUAAUAGGGACAGUCGGGGGCAUCAGUAUUCAAUUGUCAGAGGUGAAAUUCUUGGAUUUAUUGAAGACUAACUACUGCGAAAGCAUUUGCCAAGGAUGUUUUCAUUAAUCAGGAACGAAAGUUAGGGGAUCGAAGACGAUCAGAUACCGUCGUAGUCUUAACCAUAAACUAUGCCGACUAGGGAUCGGACGAUGUUAUUUUUUGACUCGUUCGGCACCUUACGGGAAAC
This 540-nucleotide ribosomal RNA is filed under the name uncultured Ascomycota. RNAcentral's name for it is "SSU rRNA". It matches the Rfam family "Eukaryotic small subunit ribosomal RNA", at positions 552 to 1098 of the family's 1831-position model. The record is from RNAcentral. Lineage: Eukaryota; Fungi; Ascomycota.